Molecule: ribosomal RNA, 403 nt
Filed under: uncultured bacterium
Lineage: Bacteria
Description: bacterial SSU rRNA
Rfam family: Bacterial small subunit ribosomal RNA
Source: RNAcentral
GGGGAAUAUUGCGCAAUGGGGGAAACCCUGACGCAGCAACGCCGCGUGAAGGAAGAAGGCCUUCGGGUUGUAAACUUCUUUGAUUGGGGACGAAGAAAGUGACUGUACCCAAAAAACAAGCCACGGCUAACUACGUGCCAGCAGCCGCGGUAAUACGUAGGUGGCAAGCGUUGUCCGGAAUUACUGGGUGUAAAGGGCGUGUAGGCGGGGAUGCAAGUCAGAUGUGAAAUUCCGGGGCUUAACCCCGGCGCUGCAUCUGAAACUGUAUCUCUUGAGUGCUGGAGAGGAAAGCGGAAUUCCUAGUGUAGCGGUGAAAUGCGUAGAUAUUAGGAGGAACACCAGUGGCGAAGGCGGCUUUCUGGACAGUAACUGACGCUGAGGCGCGAAAGCGUGGGGAGCAAAC